Molecule: unclassified non-coding RNA, 347 nt
Filed under: soil metagenome
Description: partial contains 5.8S ribosomal RNA, internal transcribed spacer 2, and large subunit ribosomal RNA
Rfam family: 5.8S ribosomal RNA (bases 1-120)
Source: RNAcentral
GAUGAAGAACGUAGCGAAAUGCGAUAAGUAAUGUGAAUUGCAGAAUUCAGUGAAUCAUCGAAUCUUUGAACGCACAUUGCGCCCGCCAGUAUUCUGGCGGGCAUGCCUGUCUGAGCGUCAUUUCAACCCUCAUGCCCCUAGGGCGUGGUGUUGGGGAUCGGCCAAAGCCCGCGAGGGACGGCCGGCCCCUAAAUCUAGUGGCGGACCCGUCGUGGCCUCCUCUGCGAAGUAGUGAUAUUCCGCAUCGGAGAGCGAUGAGCCCCUGCCGUUAACCCCCAACUUUCCAAGGUUGACCUCAGAUCAGGUAGGAAUACCCGCUGAACUUAAGCAUAUCAAUAAGCGGAGGA